AUGAAUAAUGUGUUUGUGUCUGCAGGAUGCAGCGGUCAGGUGACUGUGACUCAACCUCCAGUCAAGACAUUUACUCCAGGAUCCACUGUCACUCUGACCUGUAAGACCAGCCCGAAUGUGGCUUUGUGUAGUGGUGGUCCAUGUAUGUCCUGGUAUCAACAGACAUCUGGACAGACUCCAAAGCUCCUCAUAAGACAAGUGAGCACACGGCAUUCAGGAACUCCAGCUCGAUUUAGUGGCAGUGGAAGAACCUCCGACUUCACUUUGACCAUUAGUGGAGUUCAGGCUGAAGAUGCAGCAGUUUAUUACUGUCAGAGUAUUCAUGUAAUAAACAGUGCUGAUGUGUUGACACAGUGAUU
Non-coding RNA from Stegastes partitus (bicolor damselfish), 359 nucleotides. Lineage: Eukaryota; Metazoa; Chordata; Actinopteri; Pomacentridae. The record is from the annotation of a RefSeq genome assembly.